Phragmites australis (common reed) is the source of this 794-nucleotide long non-coding RNA. RefSeq lists it as uncharacterized. The transcript is spliced from 3 exons. NCBI's taxonomy places the organism in Eukaryota, Viridiplantae, Streptophyta, Magnoliopsida, Poales, Poaceae. The record is from RefSeq and is a predicted model, not a curated record.
CUGUACUUAUCCUGGUGUUGAAAUUUCGUAAAUGGCGUGCUGGUUUCGUGAUCGCGAGGUGUUAAGUACGCUCGUAAUGAGAAUUGAGAGGCAUGGACUGGACGCCUACUGUGACGGCGAAGUCCAUCGGCAUGGGCUCUAGCAGUAACUCAUGCGGGUCAGUGUGUGCAGGCAUGGCUGCCCGAAACAAGCAUAUGCUCGGUCUAACGCCAAUUUGGUUAGGUUGGAUACAUGACAUUCACUUACGGAGUCUUGUUCUUGUUUGAUUCUCAUCCCUACAUUUCUGAACAAGAAAACCCUUUUGCUUCUCAAGAAAACAACGAUAUUUUUUUUUGUCUGCGCCGAGCACACAUGGAAGCACCUGGCAUUUGAAGGGUUGACGCGUCAUGGCUCAUGGGCAACGCCUGCCGAGCUGCGGUUUCCUGUGUGACCCUCACAAUUAAGCGGCUGCACAGCAACAGCAGAUUGUGCCUUCUUCCAGUCCUCUCCGGGAGCUGCAGGCACUCUAUCUCUCGUUGCUUCCGGCAAAAUCCAGUGGAAAUUACAGCCCCGGUCACUGGACAAACCCUGACCGACAAAAAUUGAGGCUAGCAGGAUGAGAUUCUGGUCUCUGCUCAUUGUAGCAUGGAUGCCAGUUCUGCAGGUCCUCCUCGUAGGCUUGCUCGGAGCUCUUCUUCCAUCCAAUCGUUUAGCAUCCUCACAUCUGAUGCUCGCAGGGACAUCAAUAAGGAUUUUAUUCGUUGUUGCUGAACGUGAUGGGUUAAGGUGGUUCAUGCCAGUAAACAUGGGUAUCA